AGAUUGAACGCUGGCGGCAUGCUUUACACAUGCAAGUCGAACGGCAGCACGGGGGCAACCCUGGUGGCGAGUGGCGAACGGGUGAGUAGUGCAUCGGAACGUAUCUUUAAGUGGGGGAUAACGCAUCGAAAGAUGCGCUAAUACCACAUAAUCUCUGAGGAGAAAGCGAGGGGAUCGCAAGACCUUGCG
Molecule: ribosomal RNA, 189 nt
Filed under: uncultured soil bacterium
Lineage: Bacteria
Description: partial 16S ribosomal RNA
Rfam family: Bacterial small subunit ribosomal RNA
Source: RNAcentral